This 774-nucleotide long non-coding RNA is filed under the name Homo sapiens (human). RNAcentral describes it as "HSALNT0319195". The record is from RNAcentral. Lineage: Eukaryota; Metazoa; Chordata; Mammalia; Primates; Hominidae.
AUUGCUUUUCAGUAGGUAAAUUAAGAUUCACUUGGGAAUGCUUAUAAAAAACAUGCAUCUCCUGGUUUCUAAUCUCACCCCAUCCUCUGUGAUUUGGUGAGUCUGACCAAAGCCACCAGCUAUUUUGAUGCAGGAGGUGGUGCACUGACUAUUCUUUGAGAAACACUGCUUUGGAAGAAGGAGAUGUGCCAUGCCAUUCUCAGAGUAGCCAUCAUCCCUUUCCCUCUUACAAUCUUUUACUUUAGAUGUGGCAACAGUAAAGUCAUAAUGAAUUCAUGAUCUGUGUUCCGGGGUAGACAGAGCAAUAACUUCAGUGUCAUUUUGGAGUAGAGAUCCUCUGAUCCUGGAGAAGUGGGUGGCUGGUUCUGCUAAGAGAGCUUGCAUUAAAGGGUAGGUCAAAAUUUUGCUUGUUUUUUUUUUUUUUUUUUUUUUUUUCGGGGAAUGGGACGGGCCCUGGAAGGGUUCCCAGACUGUGGAAGAGAGGAGAAGCACAUUGGCCACCAGCUGUUCUGGAAGAGUGACUCAUCCGCCUAUGUGGCAUCAACAGAGGGUGGUGGAAUCACUCCCUUGACCAUGGGGGGCGAUGGGGAGGUGGUGGGUGUGGUUAGAGAGUGCAGAGCACUGUGAGGAGUGGUGCAUUCCAGAGGGGAACCAGACCCCCUGCAAGGGUGCCAAUCUGUGCCCUCAGUCUCCUUGGCAGCUGAUGAAGGAGGGAGAGGGAGGGGGCAAAGGAACAACUUCAUCAAGACCACAGAGGCACUAUUUAGUCAUUGG